Molecule: small RNA, 27 nt
Filed under: Bombyx mori (domestic silkworm)
Lineage: Eukaryota; Metazoa; Arthropoda; Insecta; Lepidoptera; Bombycidae
Description: ovarian small RNA-20929
Source: RNAcentral
UACCUUCGUUAGUCAAGUAAUGUAGCA